Non-coding RNA from Schistosoma mansoni, 45 nucleotides. The record is from Rfam. Lineage: Eukaryota; Metazoa; Platyhelminthes; Trematoda; Strigeidida; Schistosomatidae.
GUCCAGCUGACGAGUCCCAAGUAGGACGAAACGCGCGUCCUGGAU